Molecule: ribosomal RNA, 589 nt
Filed under: uncultured bacterium
Lineage: Bacteria
Description: bacterial SSU rRNA
Rfam family: Bacterial small subunit ribosomal RNA
Source: RNAcentral
CCUACGGGAGGCAGCAGUGGGGAAUUUUGGACAAUGGGGGCAACCCUGAUCCAGCCAUGCCGCGUGCGGGAAGAAGGCCCUCGGGUUGUAAACCGCUUUCAGAUGGAAAGAAAUGGUGUAGGUUAAUAACCUGCAUUGAUGACGGUACCAUCAGAAGAAGCACCGGCUAACUACGUGCCAGCAGCCGCGGUAAUACGUAGGGUGCGAGCGUUAAUCGGAAUUACUGGGCGUAAAGCGUGCGCAGGCGGUUCUUUAAGACAGGUGUGAAAUCCCCGGGCUUAACCUGGGAAUUGCGCUUGUGACUGGAGGGCUAGAGUGUGGCAGAGGGGAAUGGAGUUCCUGGUGUAGCAGUGAAAUGCGUAGAUAUCAGGAGGAACACCGAUGGCGAAGGCAGUUCCCUGGGCCAACACUGACGCUCAUGCACGAAAGCGUGGGGAGCAAACAGGAUUAGAUACCCUGGUAGUCCACGCCCUAAACGAUGUCAACUAGUUGUUGGGGAGGGAGACCUCUUUAGUAACGUAGCUAACGCGUGAAGUUGACCGCCUGGGGAGUACGGCCGCAAGGUUAAAACUCAAAGGAAUUGACGGAA